GACGAACGCUGGCGGCGUGCCUAACACAUGCAAGUCGAGCGGAGAUGAUGUGAGGAAGUUUUCGGAUGGAAUCACAUUAUUUUAGCGGCGGACGGGUGAGUAACGCGUGAGCGACCAACCUUGCACAGGGGGAUAACGGACCGAAAGGUUCACUAAUACCGCAUGAGACCACGGUGUUGCAUGACACAGAGGUCAAAGGAGAGAUCCGGUGCAAGACGGGCUCGCGUCCGAUUAGGUAGUUGGAGGGGUAACGGCCCACCAAGCCUAUGAUCGGUAGCCGACCUGAGAGGGUGAUCGGCCACAUUGGAACUGAGAUACGGUCCAAACUCCUACGGGAGGCAGCAGUGGGGAAUAUUGGGCAAUGGGGGAAACCCUGACCCAGCAACGCCGCGUGAAGGAAGAAGGUUUUCGGAUUGUAAACUUCUGUCCUUGGUGAAGAGAAGAAGACGGUAGCCAAGGAGGAAGCCCCGGCUAACUACGUGCCAGCAGCCGCCGCCG
Molecule: ribosomal RNA, 498 nt
Filed under: uncultured bacterium
Lineage: Bacteria
Description: partial 16S ribosomal RNA
Rfam family: Bacterial small subunit ribosomal RNA
Source: RNAcentral